GACGAACGUUGGCGGCGUGCUUAAUACAUGCAAGUCAACUGAAGCAGUGGUAGCAAUCUCGCUGUGGAGGUGGCGCACGGGUGAGUAACACGUAGGUAAUCUGCCUUCAGGUCUGGCAUAACUCCGGGAAACCGGGGCUAAUAGCAGAUGAUGCAGCGGCUCGACAUCGAGACAGUUGUUAAAGCUAUGGCGCCUGAAGAUGAGCCUGCGUCUGAUUAGCUAGUUGGCGGGGUAACGGCCCACCAAGGCAACGAUCAGUAGCUGGUCUGAGAGGAUGAUCAGCCACACUGGAACUGAGACACGGACCAGACUCCUACGGGAGGCAGCAGUAAGGAAUAUUGCGCAAUGGGAGAAAUCCUGAAGCAGCAACGCCGCGUGAGGGACGAAGGGCUUUGGCUUGUAAACCUCUGUAGAGAGAGAAAAAAAUCCCAAUCUUUGGGACAUGAUGGUAGCUCAAAAGUAAGCCCCGGCUAACUACGUG
This 481-nucleotide ribosomal RNA is filed under the name uncultured bacterium. RNAcentral's name for it is "partial 16S ribosomal RNA". It matches the Rfam family "Bacterial small subunit ribosomal RNA", at positions 28 to 507 of the family's 1533-position model. The record is from RNAcentral.